GAUGAACGCUGGCGGCGUGCCUAAUACAUGCCAGUCGAGCGAACAGACGAGGAGCUUGCUCCUCUGACGUUAGCGGCGGACGGGUGAGUAACACGUGGAUAACCUACCUAUAAGACUGGGAUAACUUCGGGAAACCGGAGCUAAUACCGGAUAAUAUAUUGAACCGCAUGGUUCAAUAGUGAAAGACGGUUUUGCUGUCACUUAUAGAUGGAUCCGCGCCGCAUUAGCUAGUUGGUAAGGUAACGGCUUACCAAGGCAACGAUGCGUAGCCGACCUGAGAGGGUGAUCGGCCACACUGGAACUGAGACACGGUCCAGACUCCUACGGGAGGCAGCAGUAGGGAAUCUUCGGCAAUGGGCGAAAGCCUGACGGAGCAACGCCGCGUGAGGGAGGAAGGUCUUCGGAUCGUAAAACUCUGUUAUUAGGGAAGAACAAAUGUGUAAGUAACUAUGCACGUCUUGACGGUACCUAAUCAGAAAGCCACGGCUAACUACGUG
Molecule: ribosomal RNA, 497 nt
Filed under: uncultured bacterium
Lineage: Bacteria
Description: partial 16S ribosomal RNA
Rfam family: Bacterial small subunit ribosomal RNA
Source: RNAcentral